Molecule: long non-coding RNA, 2869 nt
Filed under: Canis lupus familiaris (dog)
Lineage: Eukaryota; Metazoa; Chordata; Mammalia; Carnivora; Canidae
Description: lncRNA (ENSCAFG00845022228.1)
Source: RNAcentral
CAGAGAUCUAAAGAACAAAGGGGAGUUCCACGGGCAGAGAUUGGGAAAUUCCAUUUCCAUUGGAGGCACAGCCCAGCCCAGCAUGGAGCAGAAGCAGGAGGAGGCGGGGUGUUGGGUGCUGGGGAGACAGAAGGGGCAGAGGAGGAAAGACCCGCAGCAGGCAGAUCACUGGGAAGGGUAGCGGCUUGAAGCCGAGUGGGGGCGGGGGGACAGAAGGACUCAGCCUCAGGUGGACCGCCUGCAAUCAGGAGGCCUGAGGUACACUAGGGCGGUGUCGGCCACUGGGAGGAAGGGCCAGUGGCCCCAGAGCAGGUGGAGACGCCCAGAGGGGCUGGAGCAGUGCUCACAAGGUUCGUCUCUGGCACCAGCACUGCUUCCUACUCAGAGUCCAGAGGACGUGGACACCGGGUCCUGCUGACCCUCGGCUCCUGUCCCCAGCCCACCCCCAACUCAUGAUCCUGCAGCUUUGGGCACCCGGAGCUCUAUGAACCCAACUACUACAGGACGCACACCAGCUUCCAGGUCACAUGACCCAAUUAGGGCCAAGGCCCUGCUGAACUUGCUUGUUUGCUCCUGAGUUUCUGUGUUUCGAAGACAACAAUUCUAACACAUUCCCUAAGGCUCAGGUCUCUCAGGCAUCAAUCUUGGAUCAUAAUACGAUUCCAACUCUGGUGCCCAGGGCCCGGCUGGGGCCCAGCGGGACGGCAGGAGGAAAGAGGGAGGCCCACGCUUCUCCUCCCAAGUGGAAAAAUCAAGACCCAAGAGACACCGAAAAAAGGGAAAAAAAAAAAGGCGAUUCAGAGUCAGACCCUGAAUAUUGAAGAAGUUUCUUUUUCUUAUGGUUUCCUUUCCACGAGUGCACAAAAGAGUGAGGACAUGUGGAUAAAACGCACACACAAACGACACAAGCAAGUGCUUCUCUAAAUCCACGAGAGACGGACACCCAAAGGGGCACAGGAGAUGAGGCAGCAGCAUGUUGGUGCACAAGAUGCGAUACACCAGUGAACAGCGCACAUGAGGAGACACAUUCGGCUUUGCCAGAAAUCAAAGGAAUGAAAAUCACAACAGGAUAUCAUUUGAGCCUGUCAAUCUAGCAAAGCAGAGUAUGUGAUCCUGCAUUUGGGUCCCGGAGGGUGGGGGGGGGGACACUACUCUAGAGGACAUUACAGAGAUAAUUGGUAAAUUUUGAAUAUGACUUAGAAAAUAGUAAUGAUUUUUUAAAAGACUUUAUUUAUUUAUUCAUGAGAGACACAGAGAGAGGCAGAGACACAGGCAGAGGGAAAAGCAGACUCCCUGUCGGGAGCCCGAUGCGAGACUCCAUCCCAGGACCCCAGGGUCAUGGCCUCAACCACUGAGCCACCCGGGAGUCCCUGAAAAUAGUAGUAUAAUAGCAGGGUUACAUUGCUGAUUUUUAAAAAAAGAGAUAUUUAUUUAUUUUAGAGAGGGAGAGUGUAUAGGUGAGAGGGGCAGAGGGAGAGGGAGAGAAUCUCAAGCGGACUCUGCCCUGAGUGCAGAGCCUGAGGAAGUGGAUCUCAGGACCCUGAGGCCAUGACUUGAGCUGAAAUCAAGAAUCAGUCCUUUAAUUGACUUGAGCUCCGCCCCCAGGCACCCCGAUUGCUGAUUUUUUAUGCUCGCGUGGUUACGCAGAGGUUGUUAGGAAAUACACUGACACACUUGGGGGGUAAACAGGUCACAACGCCAGCAACUUACUCUCAAAUUGUUCAGAAAAGGGAGGUAGGAGGGGGGCACAUGGGGGAAAUGUUAACCACGCCUGGCAGAGGAGGGGCUCUUGCACAUUCUUACAGUCUCUGUGAAUUUGAACUUGUAGGUAUGCCCUGCUUUUUGAAAGUCCGCAUCGCACCACUUGUACUUGUUUUUUGCUAACCAACAGAAAGCUGAGGAGGAUUUGCACUUUAACAAAAAAUGGGGAAAAGCAAAAAUAGCGUUUAGCAUUUGUUUUGCUGCCCACAGAGCUACUCUGGGGGCAUCCCCACCUGAGCAGUAAGAGGGGCCCCUCCGCCAUGCUCCUGCCCCAGACUCUACUCAUCAUCUCAGCAUCAGGCUGCUGGCUCUGACCUGUGUCUGCGAGCACCGAGGCUCCAUCCUGAUUUACUUUGAGCAUCGUUAGCAAGAUGUGUCCUAAGGUGUCAAAAAAACCUGAGAGAGGUUAUUUUUUGGGUCUGGGAAUGCUAAAAAAAGUUUCCGUAUAAAUUAAUGGUGGAGUGCCCGGAUGGCUCCAUCAGUCAAGCAUCUGACUCUUGAUUUUGGCUCAGGUCAUGGUCUCAGGGUCAUGAGAUUGGGCCCUGUGUUGGACUCUGCUCUGGGCAUAGAACCUGCUUAAGAUCCUCUCUCUCUCUCUCUGUCCCUCUGCCCCUCCCAUUCCAUCCUCUAAAAAUAAAGAAAUAAACAAAAGAAAAGAAUUAGUGGUAAUUACUUCUCUGCUUUACACCAUCGCAGCUUACCAAAGGUUGCAUAGCCUUGCCCCACUUUCAGAUAGCAGGGGAAGCCUGUAUCUCAGAAAGCUUUUUUAGGGGCACCUGGGUGGCUCACCUGGUUAAGCAUCUACCUUCGGCUCAGGUCAUGAUCCCAGGGUCCUGGGAUGGGGCCUUGCACAGAGCUCUCUGCUCGGAGGGGAGCCUGUGGAAGGGGAGGUGGGCGGGGGGUUGGGAUGACUGGGUGACGGGCACUGAGGGGGGCACUUGAUGGGAUGAGCACUGGGUGUUAUGCUAUAUGUUGGCAAAUCGAACUCCAAUAAAAAAAUAAUAUAAAAAUAAAUAAUAAAUAAAUAGAACAAGGGAAGAAAAUUUUCUUUUUCAUUAAAAAAAAAAAAAAAGAGCAGUGAGGGGCCAGAGGCUGACUUCAAAAUGUC